GAUGAACGCUAGCGGGAGGCCUAACACAUGCAAGCCGAGCGGUAUUGUUUCUUCGGAAAUGAGAGAGCGGCGUACGGGUGCGUAACACGUGUGCAACCUGCCUUUAUCUGGGGGAUAGCCUUUCGAAAGGAAGAUUAAUACUCCAUAAUAUAUUGAACGGCAUCGUUUAAUAUUGAAAGCUCCGGCGGAUAGAGAUGGGCACGCGCAAGAUUAGCUAGUUGGUGAGGUAACGGCUCACCAAGGCGAUGAUCUUUAGGGGGCCUGAGAGGGUGAUCCCCCACACUGGUACUGAGACACGGACCAGACUCCUACGGGAGGCAGCAGUGAGGAAUAUUGGUCAAUGGGUGCAAGCCUGAACCAGCCAUCCCGUGUGAAGGACGACUGCCCUAUGGGUUGUAAACUUCUUUUGUAUAGGGAUAAACCUAACCUCGAGAGGGUAGCUGAAGGUACUAUACGAAUAAGCACCGGCUAACUCCGUG
Molecule: ribosomal RNA, 479 nt
Filed under: uncultured bacterium
Lineage: Bacteria
Description: partial 16S ribosomal RNA
Rfam family: Bacterial small subunit ribosomal RNA
Source: RNAcentral